Molecule: long non-coding RNA, 1247 nt
Organism: Oncorhynchus tshawytscha (Chinook salmon)
Lineage: Eukaryota; Metazoa; Chordata; Actinopteri; Salmoniformes; Salmonidae
Source: Ensembl
GCCUCUCCCUUACCAUUCUCUCUGCCCUUCUUCUCUCCCUGUCUUCUUCUCUUAUUCUCUCUUCUUCUCUCUCUUCUUCUCUCCCUGUCUUCUUCUCUUAUUCUCUCUUCUUCUCUCCCUCUCUUCUUCUCUUAUUCUCUCUUCUUCUCUCCCCCUCUUCUCUCUCUCCUUCUCUCUUCUUCUCUCUCUCUCUCUUCUCUCUCUUCUUCUCUCUUCUUCUCUCCCUCUCUUCUUUUCUCCCUAUUUUCUCGCUCUUCUUUUCUCCCUAUUUUCUCGCUCUUCUUCUCUCCCUCUCUUCUCUUUAUUCUCUCCCCCUCUUCUCUCUCUUCUUCUCUCCCCCUCUUCUCUCCCCUCAUUCUCCUUUCCUAUCCUUCACAUCCAAAUCUCUCCUACCUGUCUCUCUUUAUUCUUGUCUUUUCCUUUCAUCUUCAUUACGCCUACCGAUCACCUUCCCCCCCCUCCUUCUCUCCAUCUGGCUCUUUCCCUGUCUUUCCCUCUUUUGAAAGCGAACCCCUCCCUUGGUCUGAGGGCGUGGAAAGAGAAAAGGUUCUUCUUCCCACAGUUUUACCAAGAACAAUUCAUAGACUUUAAUAGAGCUCUGCACCCUCCCUGGAGCCUGUCAAAACAUCAGCACCACUGUAGGUUCCUGGACCUGAGCCCUAGGACCAUGCCUCAGGACUACCUGGCCUGAUAACUCCUUGCUGUCCCCAAUCCACCUGGCCAAGCUGCUGCUCUUGUUUCAACUGUUCUGCCUGCGCCAAUGACCCUGACCUGUUCACUGGACGUGCUACCUUGUCCCGGACCUGCUGUUUUGGACUCUCUCUCUCUCUACCGCACCUGCUGUCUCUAACUCUGAAUGAUCAACUAUGAAAAGCCAACUCACAUUUACUCCUGAGGUGCUGAUCUGUUGCACCCUCCACAACCACUGUGAUUAUUAUUAUUUGACCCUGCUGGUCAUCUAUGAACAUUUGAACAUCUUGGCCAUGUUCUGUUAUAAUCUCCACCCGGCACAUCCAGAAGAGGACUGGCCACCCCUCAGAGCCUUGCCUUUCUAGGGAGUUUUUCCUAGCCACUUCUAUGUGCUUCUAUAUAUGCAUUGUUUGCUGUUUGGGGUUUUAGGAUGGGUUUCUGUACAGCACUUUGUGACAUUGGCUGAUGUAAAAAAAAGGGCUUUAUAAAUACAUUUGACUGAUUGAUUGAGGGUGCUGUGGCAACCCCUGAACAACCUGAAUAAAAUAAUAAUCCAG